Molecule: long non-coding RNA, 257 nt
Organism: Daphnia pulex (common water flea)
Lineage: Eukaryota; Metazoa; Arthropoda; Branchiopoda; Diplostraca; Daphniidae
Exons: 3
Source: RefSeq, a predicted model, not a curated record
GUUUCUACUUCUGUUUAGAAGGCAACCCAGAUGAGGGAUAGUGUUUCAGAGACAUGAAGAUAUGAAGUGACCUGCCAUGUGUGUACCAGAUCUGCUUGAUGAAAGACAAAUGCCUUACUAAAUUCAUCACCCGUAUGAAAAAGCAUCAGGAAAUUUAUCUCAUCAUGUGAAGUUAUGCUGUUGGUUCCUGUGAAUCCCAUUUUUACGGUUUCUUCUCUCUUCCUGUUCUUAUCAUGAACAUUUCAGUGUGUUUCUUA